Molecule: ribosomal RNA, 584 nt
Filed under: uncultured bacterium
Lineage: Bacteria
Description: bacterial SSU rRNA
Rfam family: Bacterial small subunit ribosomal RNA
Source: RNAcentral
CCUACGGGAGGCAGCAGUGGGGAAUUUUGGACAAUGGGCGCAAGCCUGAUCCAGCAAUGCCGCGUGAGUGAAGAAGGCCUUCGGGUUGUAAAGCUCUUUUGUCAGGGAAGAAAAGGGUCUGGCUAAUAUCUAGGCCUCAUGACGGUACCUGAAGAAUAAGCACCGGCUAACUACGUGCCAGCAGCCGCGGUAAUACGUAGGGUGCAAGCGUUAAUCGGAAUUACUGGGCGUAAAGCGUGCGCAGGCGGUUUUGUAAGACUGUCGUGAAAUCCCCGGGCUCAACCUGGGAAUGGCGAUGGUGACUGCAAGGCUAGAGUUUGGCAGAGGGGGGUAGAAUUCCACGUGUAGCAGUGAAAUGCGUAGAUAUGUGGAGGAACACCGAUGGCGAAGGCAGCCCCCUGGGUCAAACUGACGCUCAUGCACGAAAGCGUGGGGAGCAAACAGGAUUAGAUACCCUGGUAGUCCACGCCCUAAACGAUGUCUACUAGUUGUCGGGUCUUAAUUGACUUGGUAACGCAGCUAACGCAUGAAGUAGACCGCCUGGGGAGUACGGUCGCAAGNUUAAAACNCAAAGGAAUUGACGG